UGGGGAAUAUUGCACAAUGGGCGCAAGCCUGAUGCAGCCAUGCCGCGUGUGUGAAGAAGGCCUUCGGGUUGUAAAGCACUUUCAGCGAGGAGGAAGGCGGUGAGCUUAAUACGCUCAUCAAUUGACGUUACUCGCAGAAGAAGCACCGGCUAACUCCGUGCCAGCAGCCGCGGUAAUACGGAGGGUGCAAGCGUUAAUCGGAAUUACUGGGCGUAAAGCGCACGCAGGCGGUUCGUUAAGUCAGAUGUGAAAUCCCCGGGCUCAACCUGGGAACUGCAUUUGAAACUGGCAAGCUAGAGUCUCGUAGAGGGGGUAGAAUUCCAGGUGUAGCGGUGAAAUGCGGUAGAGAUCUGGAGGAAUACCGGUGGCGAAGGCGGCCCCCUGGA
Molecule: ribosomal RNA, 386 nt
Filed under: uncultured bacterium
Lineage: Bacteria
Description: partial 16S ribosomal RNA
Rfam family: Bacterial small subunit ribosomal RNA
Source: RNAcentral